Molecule: ribosomal RNA, 253 nt
Filed under: uncultured bacterium
Lineage: Bacteria
Description: partial 16S ribosomal RNA
Rfam family: Bacterial small subunit ribosomal RNA
Source: RNAcentral
UACAGAGGCCUCAAGCGUUAGGCGGAAUUACUGGGCGUAAAGCGUGCGCAGGCGGUUCGUUAAGUCAGAUGUGAAAGCCCCGGGCUCAACCUGGGAACUGCAUUUGAAACUGGCGGGCUUGAGUGUGGCAGAGGGGGGUGGAAUUCCGCGUGUAGCAGUGAAAUGCGUAGAGAUGCGGAGGAACACCGAUGGCGAAGGCAGCCCCCUGGGCCAACACUGACGCUCAGGCACGAAAGCGUGGGGAGCAAACAGG